AGAGUUUGAUCCUGGCUCAGAUUGAACGCUGGCGGCAGGCCUAACACAUGCAAGUCGAGCGGAUGACGGGAGCUUGCUCCUUGAUUCAGCGGCGGACGGGUGAGUAAUGCCUAGGAAUCUGCCUGGUAGUGGGGGACAACGUUUCGAAAGGAACGCUAAUACCGCAUACGUCCUACGGGAGAAAGCAGGGGACCUUAGGGCCUUGCGCUAUCAGAUGAGCCUAGGUCGGAUUAGCUAGUUGGUGGGGUAAUGGCUCACCAAGGCGACGAUCCGUAACUGGUCUGAGAGGAUGAUCAGUCACACUGGAACUGAGACACGGUCCAGACUCCUACGGGAGGCAGCAGUGGGGAAUAUUGGACAAUGGGCGAAAGCCUGAUCCAGCCAUGCCGCGUGUGUGAAGAAGGUCUUCGGAUUGUAAAGCACUUUAAGUUGGGAGGAAGGGCAGUAAGCUAAUACCUUGCUGUUUUGACGUUACCGACAGAAUAAGCACCGGCUAACUCUGUGCCAGCAGCCGCGGUAAUACAGAGGGUGCAAGCGUUAAUCGGAAUUACUGGGCGUAAAGCGCGCGUAGGUGGUUUGUUAAGUUGGAUGUGAAAGCCCCGGGCUCAACCUGGGAACUGCAUCCAAAACUGGCAAGCUAGAGUACGGUAGAGGGUGGUGGAAUUUCCUGUGUAGCGGUGAAAUGCGUAGAUAUAGGAAGGAACACCAGUGGCGAAGGCGACCACCUGGACUGAUACUGACACUGAGGUGCGAAAGCGUGGGGAGCGAACAGGAUUAGAUACCCUGGUAGUCCACGCCGUAAACGAUGUCAACUAGCCGUUGGAAUCCUUGAGAUUUUAGUGGCGCAGCUAACGCAUUAAGUUGACCGCCUGGGGAGUACGGCCGCAAGGUUAAAACUCAAAGGAAUUGACGGGGACCCGCACAAGCGGUGGAUGAUGUGGAUUAAUUCGAUGCAACGCGAAAAACCUUACCUACCCUUGACAUGUCCAGAAGCCCGGAGAGAUUUGGGUGUGCCCGAAAGGGAACUGGAACACAGGUGCUGCAUGGCUGUCGUCAGCUCGUGUCGUGAGAUGUUGGGUUAAGUCCCGCAACGAGCGCAACCCUUGUCGUUAAUUGCCAUCAUUUAGUUGGGCACUUUAACGAGACUGCCGGUGACAAACCGGAGGAAGGUGGGGAUGACGUCAAGUCCUCAUGGCCCUUAUGGGUAGGGCUUCACACGUCAUACAAUGGUCGGUACAGAGGGUUGCCAAGCCGCGAGGUGGAGCCAAUCCCAGAAAGCCGAUCGUAGUCCGGAUUGCAGGCUGCAACUCGCCUGCAUGAAGUCGGAAUCGCUAGUAAUCGCGGAUCAGCAUGUCGCGGUGAAUACGUUCCCGGGUCUUGUACACACCGCCCGUCACACCAUGGGAGCGGGUUCCGCCAGAAGUAGGUAGCCUAACCGUAAGGAGGGCGCUUACCACGGCGGGGUUCGUGACUGGGGUGAAGUCGUAACAAGGUAGCCGUA
RNAcentral lists this ribosomal RNA (1501 nucleotides) under uncultured bacterium. RNAcentral describes it as "partial 16S ribosomal RNA". It matches the Rfam family "Bacterial small subunit ribosomal RNA". The record is from RNAcentral.